CCAACCCCUCGUGCCCUCCUCUCUCUCUCUCUCUCUCUCUCGAACCCUAGCGCUCCACUCCUCCCUGGCCGCCGCCACCUCCGGCGCCCUCUGUUCGGCGAGAUCCAUAUGGAUCGAUCCCCUCCAACCCAGGACUCCAUGAAUCCUCCUCCUCCUCUCUGGAUCGAUCCGCAACCGCUUCCAACCCAGCCGCCGCCGCAGACCUCCCCCAAUCCAGGCUCCUACACGCCCCACUCCCAGAUCGAACUCUAGCCUGAGACCCCUUCCUGCUCGAUGGCAAACCCCACCAUGGCGGUAGGUGGCGGGGCUCAUUGGCGAAGGGCGUCCGCGCCGUCGAGGCCCAGAUCCGCAACCGCUUCCGCGUGGCGCCCGUCGACCGCGUGGCUGCGGCCCUGGCAAUGCGAUGGCAGCGUCGGCCCUGGCGGCGUCGGCGGCGGCGAGCCAGUCCCUGAGAAACCGCGAGAUCCUCGACGUUGUGGGCACCACUACGUUGCCGCUCUCGCUUGCCGGCUUCUCCUUCAUCGUGGUCUGCUACCUCCUCUUCCGCGAGCUACGCAAGUUCUCAUUCAAGCUCCUCUACUUCCUCGCUGUUGCGUCCAUCGGGGGAGCUUUGGCGGCAGCACAAGGAGCAGGGCAUCGAGCAGCAGCACUGGCACGGGCUUAUAUAUUGUUGGCUUGUAGCAUAAAUUUUUGGCAUGAUAGCAUAAAUUGGUUGGCGUCUUGACACACUAAUGCAAUCUUACUGACAAUUGGCAGUAACCAAAAUCAUAUAAAGGUCGCGGCGACCACCAAGAACACACCCAACUCCCGCAUCCUGAACUACCUGAGCCUGCCGUCGCAGCUGCUGUGUCAAGUCCACAACAUCACCAUGCAUGUAGGUGUACUUGGUUCAUCAUCAAGUUCAGGUGUAGGGGUUAGUGGCCUUAAGCAUUAACCAUUUAAUCCUGAUGAAUGAUGCUUGUUUUGCACAGGCUGACA
Non-coding RNA from Triticum urartu, 978 nucleotides. Lineage: Eukaryota; Viridiplantae; Streptophyta; Magnoliopsida; Poales; Poaceae. The record is from RefSeq and is a predicted model, not a curated record.